This 253-nucleotide ribosomal RNA is filed under the name uncultured bacterium. RNAcentral's name for it is "partial 16S ribosomal RNA". It matches the Rfam family "Bacterial small subunit ribosomal RNA", at positions 524 to 776 of the family's 1533-position model. The record is from RNAcentral.
UACGGGGGGGGCAAGCGUUGUUCGGAAUUACUGGGCGUAAAGGGCUCGUAGGCGGCCAACUAAGUCAGACGUGAAAUCCCUCGGCUUAACCGGGGAACUGCGUCUGAUACUGGAUGGCUUGAAUCCGGGAGAGGGAUGCGGAAUUCCAGGUGUAGCGGUGAAAUGCGUAGAUAUGGGGAGGAACACCGGUGGCGAAGGCGGCCAUCUGGACGGAUACUGACGCUGAGACGCGAAAGCGUGGGGAGCAAACAGG